AGUUCGAAUUGAAGGCUGAAAUUCGCCUUCAUGAAGUCGGAAUUGCUAGUAAUGGCAGGUCAGCAUACUGCCGUGAAUACGUUCCCGGGCCUUGUACACACCGCCCGUCACACCAUGAGAGUUGGAGAUACCCGAAGCCUGUGAGCUAACUUUUAGAGGCAGCGGUCGAAGGUAGAAUCAAUGAUUGGGGUGAAGUCGUAACAAGGUAUC
RNAcentral lists this ribosomal RNA (210 nucleotides) under uncultured bacterium. RNAcentral describes it as "partial 16S ribosomal RNA". It matches the Rfam family "Bacterial small subunit ribosomal RNA", at positions 1290 to 1500 of the family's 1533-position model. The record is from RNAcentral.